Molecule: ribosomal RNA, 499 nt
Filed under: Podagrica maculata
Lineage: Eukaryota; Metazoa; Arthropoda; Insecta; Coleoptera; Chrysomelidae
Description: eukaryotic LSU rRNA
Source: RNAcentral
MAAGAGUACGUGAAACCGUUCAGGGGUAAACCUGAGAAACCCGAAAGGUCGAAAGGGGAAAUUCAUUCGCGUUUCAGCUGUCGGAGUUGAGCGAUCGCGUGACGGAUAAGAGAGUUUCGGCNCCGUCUUGUCUGCGCCUUUCGUUCUUCUCACCGACGUUGAACGCGUGCACUUUUCCCCUAGUAGGACGUCGCGAUCCGUUGGGUGUCUGUCUAAGACUCGGGGUGGAGCCCACGUGGCCGAUUUCGGUCAUGUGGACCCUCGAUGUUCCGACAGACUCGCUCGACGGUAUGUUAAUGGCGCGGGGCCGCUACAUUUCAGUUAGCGUUCGGCCCGUAGCAAGCACGUUCUGUGUUUGAUGGCGAUCGGACCUGGUGCCGAUUCCGUCCCGGAACGACUGUUGGUUACGGUGUUUUCUCGAACAGACCUCGUUGAAACGCCGAUCUGCGACGCUAUAGCUUUGGGUACUUUCAGGACCCGUCUUGAAACACGGRCCCMA